AUUGCUUCUCGGCCUUUUGGCUAAGAUCAGGUGUAUAAGUGAGUGAUAGUGUGUCUCCAUGUCUCUGUGUAUCUGCAUAUGCUAUAUCAUGUUUAUGUAUGUCAGAGGGUAACUUAUCAGAAUUUGUUCUCUCCUUUCACCAACUGGUUCUUUGGGAUCCAACUUAUAUCAUCAGACUUGACACCAA
Small nuclear RNA from Mus pahari (shrew mouse), 187 nucleotides. RefSeq annotates it as U2 spliceosomal RNA. The transcript has a single exon. The record is from RefSeq and is a predicted model, not a curated record. Lineage: Eukaryota; Metazoa; Chordata; Mammalia; Rodentia; Muridae.